RNAcentral lists this ribosomal RNA (800 nucleotides) under Viridibacillus sp. RNAcentral's name for it is "bacterial SSU rRNA". It matches the Rfam family "Bacterial small subunit ribosomal RNA", at positions 43 to 824 of the family's 1533-position model. Lineage: Bacteria; Bacillati; Bacillota; Bacilli; Caryophanales; Caryophanaceae. The record is from RNAcentral.
CGUGCCUAAUACAUGCAAGUCGAGCGAAUGAUGAAGAAGCUUGCUUCUUCUGAUUUAGCGGCGGACGGGUGAGUAACACGUGGGCAACCUACCUAGUAGAUUGGGAUAACUCCGGGAAACCGGGGCUAAUACCGAAUAAUCCAUUUUGUCACAUGGCAAAAUGCUGAAAGGCGGUUUCGGCUGUCACUACUAGAUGGGCCCGCGGUGCAUUAGCUAGUUGGUGGGGUAAUGGCCUACCAAGGCAACGAUGCAUAGCCGACCUGAGAGGGUGAUCGGCCACAUUGGGACUGAGACACGGCCCAAACUCCUACGGGAGGCAGCAGUAGGGAAUCUUCCACAAUGGACGAAAGUCUGAUGGAGCAACGCCGCGUGAGUGAUGAAGGUUUUCGGAUCGUAAAACUCUGUUGUAAGGGAAGAACAAGUACGUUAGUAACUGAACGUACCUUGACGGUACCUUAUUAGAAAGCCACGGCUAACUACGUGCCAGCAGCCGCGGUAAUACGUAGGUGGCAAGCGUUGUCCGGAUUUAUUGGGCGUAAAGCGCGCGCAGGUGGUUUCUUAAGUCUGAUGUGAAAGCCCACGGCUCAACCGUGGAGGGUCAUUGGAAACUGGGAGACUUGAGUGCAGAAGAGGAAAGUGGAAUUCCAAGUGUAGCGGUGAAAUGCGUAGAGAUUUGGAGGAACACCAGUGGCGAAGGCGACUUUCUGGUCUGUAACUGACACUGAGGCGCGAAAGCGUGGGGAGCAAACAGGAUUAGAUACCCUGGUAGUCCACGCCGUAAACGAUGAGUGCUAAGUGUU